UCGCCAUUGGAUGGGCCCGCGUCGGAUUAGCUAGUUGGUGAGGUAACGGCUCACCAAGGCAACGAUCCGUAGCUGGUCUGAGAGGAUGAUCAGCCACACUGGGACUGAGACACGGCCCAG
This 120-nucleotide ribosomal RNA is filed under the name uncultured bacterium. RNAcentral's name for it is "partial 16S ribosomal RNA". It matches the Rfam family "Bacterial small subunit ribosomal RNA", at positions 215 to 334 of the family's 1533-position model. The record is from RNAcentral.